Molecule: microRNA precursor, 78 nt
Filed under: Pteropus alecto (black flying fox)
Lineage: Eukaryota; Metazoa; Chordata; Mammalia; Chiroptera; Pteropodidae
Description: microRNA pal-mir-10007 precursor
Source: miRBase by way of RNAcentral
AAGGGGCUUCUGUGGGAUGGAGCUGAAUGGAGGCGAGGCCGCAGGCCACCCUGUGCUCCUCCAGCGCGAGCCCCUGCA